RNAcentral lists this long non-coding RNA (842 nucleotides) under Mytilus galloprovincialis (Mediterranean mussel). The record is from RNAcentral. Lineage: Eukaryota; Metazoa; Mollusca; Bivalvia; Mytilida; Mytilidae.
CUUAAUUUGGUAAACAGAAAUUUUAAACAUAACUUAUGUAAAUAUAUUUGUUUCAAAGUUACAGUUUAGUUUGUAAUAGUUUUAGUUUACUAUUAUUGUUUAAUUAUGUCACUGUGUACAUAUCUUGAAUGUACAGUUAAGUUUUGGUAUUGCGGGCUGCCAUAGAUUUAUUUAUAUGGGAGAUAACUCAGGGUUUACUUGCGACAAAAUUGCGGGACAAAUAAUAUUGUGUAUUUUCACCAGUUUAGAGCCAAAAUAAGUCAUGGUUAGUGUUAUACAUUUAUUAUUCAAUACAUUAAUGUUAGUUUUCCAUUGUCGCCAAGUAACAAAGCUUGUAUAAGCAAAGAAACAUUAGUUCUCCUGAAUUUCCCAUUCCAGCCUUGUGAUUUCUAUAUUUUGAGACUUUGUUUAUUUACUAUCCUAAUAGUUAAGACUGAUGCCUAUAGUUUAAGCGCAUUUAAAUAUAUUACUUUAUUUAAAUUGUAUUUUACUUUAGAGUAAAUUAACUCAGUAGUCCCAGAAUGUUUUAUUUUAGUAUGUGAGCUAGGUCCCCAGAGAUAACUUAAGUAGUUAUCCCCCCUUGAUAUGCAAAUUAGUUUGCAAGUGUUUGUUUUAAUUAGAGUAUUUUGUAUAUAAACUUGUUUGAGAUUAAUUACAUGUUUCAGUGUGGCAUGUCUAUGGAGAGUCAUUUUAAACAAUGCAGAUUGUUUAUAUUUAGUUUUAAUAUUUUAUAAAGAUGAUAAAAUUUAAUGUUUAAGAAUUUUUUAGUCAAAAAUACAAUUUGAAAUUUAUAAAUCUUUAGUCAAAAAUACAAUUUGAAAUUUAUAUCUGUUUGGUUAAGG